Molecule: ribosomal RNA, 402 nt
Filed under: bacterium
Lineage: Bacteria
Description: partial 16S ribosomal RNA
Rfam family: Bacterial small subunit ribosomal RNA
Source: RNAcentral
UGGGGAAUUUUGCACAAUGGGGGAAACCCUGAUGCAGCGACGCCGCGUGAUUUAGAAGGCCUUCGGGUUGUAAAAAUCUUUUCUAUGGGAAGAAAAUGACAGUACCAUAGGAAUAAGGACCGGCUAAUUACGUGCCAGCAGCCGCGGUAAUACGUAAGGUCCGAGCGUUGUCCGGAAUCAUUGGGCGUAAAGGGUACGUAGGCGGGUAAGCAAGUUAGAAGUGAAAUCCUAUAGCUCAACUAUAGUAAGCUUUUAAAACUGCUCAUCUUGAGGUAUGGAAGGGAAAGUGGAAUUCCUAGUGUAGCGGUGAAAUGCGCAGACAUUAGGAGGAAUACCGGUGGCGAAGGCGACUUUCUGGCCAUAACCUGACGCUGAGGUACGAAAGCGUGGGUAGCAAACAGG